This is an RNA transcript of Nomascus leucogenys (northern white-cheeked gibbon), 5157 nucleotides long. It is a transcript of the gene named synaptotagmin 9, with no coding region annotated. The record is from RefSeq and is a predicted model, not a curated record. The transcript has 8 exons. Lineage: Eukaryota; Metazoa; Chordata; Mammalia; Primates; Hylobatidae.
GAUGUGCGGCACCGCCUCUCCUCGGUGUCGGGGGAGGGACGGAGGGACCGGGCGGGAGAGAGAGAAAGCCUGACCGAUCGGCUGGCGAAGAGCUGCAUGCAACCGGUGGGAGGCCGGGCUGGCUGGGUCUGGGGCUCGGGCUCGGGCUCGGACCGUUUCCCGGCUGGUCCCUGGCGGUGAGCGCGGACGGCCCGGAGGCGGCGGCUCUGAGGUGGCAGGCGGAGGGCUGUCUCCUGCGCCCGCCUGCCCGGCGCGGUCCGAGGAUGCGGGGGGGCGAUGCCCGGGGCCAGGGACGCGCUCUGUCACCAGGCGCUGCAGCUGCUGGCCGAGCUCUGUGCCCGUGGGGCCCUGGAGCACGACAGCUGCCAGGAUUUCAUUUACCACCUGCGGGACCGUGCCAGACCCCGGCUCCGCGACCCAGAUAUCUCAGUGAGCCUGCUGACCCUUGUGGUCACUGCCUGUGGUCUCGCUCUCUUCGGCGUGUCUCUCUUCGUAUCUUGGAAACUCUGCUGGGUUCCGUGGCGAGAACGAGGCCUGCCCUCUGGUAGCAAAGACAACAACCAGGAGCCUCUUAACUACACGGACACAGAGACCAAUGAGCAGGAGAACAGUGAGGACUUCCUAGACCCUCCCACGCCCUGCCCUGACUCCUCCAUGAAGAUCAGCCACACCUCCCCUGACAUUCCCCUCUCCACCCAGACAGGGGUCCAGGAGAACUGUGCCCAUGGUGUCCAUGUGCAGCGCCAAGUCACAGAGCCAACCUCGUCGGCUCGGCAUAAUUCAAUCCGAAGACAACUCAACUUGUCAAACCCGGACUUCAAUAUCCAGCAGCUUCAAAAACAGGAACAGUUGACUGGAAUUGGUAGAAUUAAACCAGAGUUAUAUAAGCAGAGGUCAUUGGAUAAUGAUGACGGGAGACGGAGUAACAGCAAGGCUUGUGGGAAACUGAACUUCAUUUUAAAAUAUGACUGUGACUUAGAGCAGCUCAUAGUGAAGAUUCACAAAGCUGUCAAUUUGCCCGCCAAGGACUUUUCUGGGACUUCAGAUCCUUAUGUCAAGAUCUAUUUGCUUCCUGAUCGGAAAACAAAACACCAGACUAAAGUUCACAGAAAGACCCUGAACCCUGUGUUUGAUGAAGUGUUUUUAUUUCCAGUUCCCUACAAUGACCUUGAAGCACGGAAGCUUCACUUCUCUGUGUACGACUUUGACAGGUUCUCUCGUCAUGACUUAAUCGGCCAAGUGGUGGUGGAUCACUUCCUAGACUUGGCUGAUUUCCCCAGGGAGUGCAUCCUUUGGAAGGAUAUCGAAUAUGUCACCAAUGACAACGUGGAUCUGGGAGAGCUGAUGUUUUCCCUGUGCUAUCUUCCAACGGCUGGCAGGCUGACCAUUACCAUUAUAAAAGCAAGGAAUUUAAAGGCAAUGGACAUAACAGGAGCAUCAGAUCCCUACGUGAAAGUCUCGCUGAUGUGUGAUGGCAGACGACUGAAGAAGAGGAAAACAUCCACCAAGAGGAACACCUUGAAUCCUGUUUACAACGAAGCCAUAGUCUUUGAUGUCCCUCCCGAGAAUAUUGACCAAAUCCACUUGUCCAUAGCAGUCAUGGACUAUGACCGUGUAGGUCACAAUGAGAUCAUCGGCGUGUGUCAAGUAGGCAACGAGGCUGAGAGGCUGGGCAGAGACCACUGGAGUGAAAUGUUGUCAUAUCCUCGGAAGCCCAUUGCACACUGGCAUUCCCUGGUGGAGCUCACAAGCAUUCUAGGACCUUAGUGGCACUGUCCAGAAGAGGAAAAGAUUCAGAGCCCAGAAAACUCACCCAACUGAAGGGCUGCACCUUAAGAAGGGGGAGACCAGUAGGCUGCACCGCCGUAUUUCCAGAGGCUGACCUUGAUUCUGGCUAAUUACAUACACAAGGAAAUUCACCAAAUGAGCAAAGCCCAGCUAUGGAGUUCAGAAACGAUGACCAUGGGUAAGAGGACUGCUUGUGCCAAGGACACAAUAGGACAACCAUCUCACAAAGAUCUUAAGUAACUUUUUCCAUCCAGCAACACCCAGACGAUUUCAGUGACCAAAUGCUCAGCUGUAACCACAGCAAUAACUGGCCUUCUUUCCAGACUGGGUUUGGUGAACCUGAAUGGUCCAGCCACCUUCUGCAGGUGGCCCAAGGUGAUGUGCUGCAGGGAAGCAUGUCUCUCAUGCCAAGAACCAAGAUCGGACUAUGAAUGAAAACAAAUGAUAGAUAUAGUGACAGUACCAAGAGUACCAGGACUCAGUGUUUCAUAUGAAGCCCUUGGUGAUGAGGACAUAGCAUCUGCCCUGGAAAUUGUUAUUCUAACAUAAUAUUAUUUUCUAGAAUGCCCUGGAAGGACAGAAUAUUUAAAAAUAUAUCCAGGUGCUAAAUAGGCAGCAGAUCUCAAUUCACACAUGACUACCUUUGAGCUAAUGACUGUCUCCAGAAAAUAACUGUGCCCCAAGAAGUGCUCCAGAUUUGCAAGGAAUAGCCCCAAGAGAAUAAUAGGACAAGCAGGCUGUUCCCUGGAAAAAAUCUAAUGCAAGGAGGGCUAGUUCACAGCAAAUUCACUGCCUCCUCCCAUGCACAUGGUAGAUAGUACCAGUAUCAACAUGGCCCUGUUUUCUGCUAAAACCAGAUUUUGAGGAAUCAGAGACACCCAACACUAUUCACUCAGUAGCCAGCAGCCACUUCCUUUCAACUGGGAGUGUUAUUAGCAUGAAAAGUAAUUGUUAUCACAGUUAGAAGGGCAUACAUCUCAGUGGCAUGAGCAUUGUGGAAUAUCCUUUCCUAGGCACAUUUGUCCACUAAGGGAAUAGCCUCAGAAACUGGUAUAGCAAUGGGUGAGAUGAGAUCAUGGAGAGAGAACACAGCCAUCCCCUACAGAAAGGCACAGCUUUUGAGCUUCUCUGGCCUGAGUGCCUUCUGGGGUAUUUCCAUAUGCAACAGCCCAGAGUCAUAGCCUUGGGCAACCACACAUAGAGGUUUCCUUCUCACUUCAGACACAUAUAUCACUUUCACAGCACUUGGGGAUAGAAAUACCUACAAGAGUGAAGGUCAAGGGCCCUCCCCAGGCAUCUCAUUCAUUACUCAGCUUCCUUCCUGACCAAAUCUGCCAACCAAUGGCCAGCUAUGCGCCUCAUCCUCAUUGCUUCUGCCUCCAAGUAAAUGAAACCAAAGGCCUCAGCAUAUCCUGGGAGGACUGGGGGCUGUUACCUAAUGGUCCUCUCUGUCCCAUUAUAGGUGCAAGGCACCCCUUCCACACAUUUGCACCACUACUCCAAGAUAAUAUUUUCCUUUUCACACAAUCUCUUUACAGCAGAAUCCAGAGUUGGAUUGUAGUUUACCUUCCUGGAAAGCUCAUUAUCUUUGUUUGAAUUAACAUUUCAGCAUGGAACUAACUGGGCGGAAGAAGGAUCGUUACACGUCUUCAGAAAGUUCUCAUUGCCCCACCUGCCUAGUACUAUACAAGAAGCUCUACUCUGAUGGCAGAUCUAAGAAGGCUAUAGGCCUUUGGUUGUAGGAAGCAAUGUCAUUACAUUCAAGCUUCACUUCUCUGAUUGGCUUCCAACCACUGGGAUUCAAAGAGAAUCCAAGGUUCUGCCUAUGUCUGAUUACAUAAGGAAAAUUUGGCUUCCUCUGCUCAUCACUCCUCAUUCAGACUUCCUCCACUAUACCAGUGCUCAAAACAUGAAGGGCUAGCGCCACCAGGAGAGUUAGCAGAAAUAUUGUCUGUAAAGCUAGGCAGAUGAACCCAGAAGAAUGGUCCCAGAGAAAGCAGACUGGCUCCAAUAGAUAUCAGGCAGCAAUCCCAAUAAAUUCUGACAUGUCCUUGGCAAUGGAAGCCUGGGUUGGAGAUCCUGAGGCAGCUGUGCCUACUGUUCCCCACCUCAGAAGCUUCCUGCCCAGAAAGCCAGCAGCCUUGGGAUACUAAUGAGGAUACAACUGGCUUGUUGGUAUGAAAUAGAAGGUGGCUUUGUAGGGGCAAGCAGGCAAAGAGGACUAUCCACAUGGCAGGCAGGUGGCUUUGUGUCUGGAAAGCUUUGCCUAGCCAGUACAGCUGUGACCAGAGGCUGAUUAUAAAUUUGAACUCCCUCAGCCCAUUUGCAACUCUGCCUCUGUUCUCUUGCAUUCUGUUUGGUUGCCCUUUAGUUUCCUAGUAAAUGCUCCUUUUCAAAAACUCCAACCUUGUCUCAUUUAACUUGGGGAAGGGGAUUCUCCAGUGUCUUUUCCAGGAUAAAGAAGGAAAUUAAAAUACCAUGAAAAAAUGGACAUGGCAGUAGAAAGGAAACAUUCUGAUCAGACCUUGGGAAAAGCUGGUGUCAAGAGAGAGGGAGAGGCCAGGUGUCCCCCCCACCCAACUGGCACUGAUUCUCAGCCCCUUCCUCUUACUUCUGUUGGCUUCAAGGAAAUCUGCCCUUGAUGUGUGUUGCUGCCGAAGCACCCUCCCAGCCAGUGAAUUCAACAUAUGCAGCAGGCACUUUGAUGUCCAUGAAGUACACUGGUACAUGACAGGAGCAAGAGUCAGGGAGGGGAGGGGAAAGGUUUCUACAAUGCGGAUGUUUUCAAAAUUCUCCAACAAUCAUGACUCUAAAUGGUAUGAUUUAGGGCUGGGUACAGUGACUCAUACCUAUAAUCUCAGCACUUUGGGAUGCCAAGGCGGGAGGAUCACUCGAUACGAAGAGUUCAAGUCUGGCAACAUGGAGAGAUCCCCAUCUAAUUUCAAAAGAGACCCCCUGGCUAUCUUUUUAAAAAUUAGCCAUGUACCUGUAGUCCCAGCUACUUAGGAAGCUGAGAUAGGAGACUCACCUGAGUCCAGGAGCUUGAGGCUACAGCGAGCCGUGAUUGCAACACUGCAUUUCAGCCUGGGUGACAGAGCAAGGCCCUGUCUCUCUAAAAAAGAAAAAGGUAUUAUUUAGUUCACAUGGCCAUCAGUAGAACUGCAUUUCACAUGAUGAGAAGAAAAUAAUUAUUUUACCCUUGAGUCAGGGAGAUUGACGAAGGAUAGGUAUGGAAAAUCGCUUGCUAUUUUCAUGGCCACCCUGUCCUGCAAUGAGGGGGGCGGGAGGGGGGGCAUUCCAAUGACUUAUUGCUGCAUAACAAAGCACCAAAACAUAGUGGCUUAAAUAGAAAUAUAUUGUCUCUCAUGA